This 253-nucleotide ribosomal RNA is filed under the name uncultured bacterium. RNAcentral describes it as "partial 16S ribosomal RNA". It matches the Rfam family "Bacterial small subunit ribosomal RNA", at positions 524 to 776 of the family's 1533-position model. The record is from RNAcentral.
UACGUAGGGCGCAAGCGUUGUCCGGAAUUAUUGGGCGUAAAGAGCUUGUAGGCGGUUUGUCGCGUCUGCCGUGAAAAUUCGAGGCUCAACCUCGAACUUGCGGUGGGUACGGGCAGACUAGAGUGUGGUAGGGGAGACUGGAAUUCCUGGUGUAGCGGUGAAAUGCGCAGAUAUCAGGAGGAACACCGAUGGCGAAGGCAGGUCUCUGGGUCAAUACUGACGCUCAGGCACGAAAGCGUGGGGAGCGAACAGG